CAAAAGAGGCGGAAGUUCUUGGAGGUAAAAAGUCACAGGCAUGAAACUGACUCCUUCCGAGCUACUGCCUAGCAAGAGAAAAGAUACACAAGUUGGAAUGAAGAAAUAUAUUACAAUUCUGAUAAUGAUUACUUUUCAUCAUUCCAUCGCUAAUGAAACACAUGAAAGUGGCUCCAUCCUCGAAGUAAACAGUACAGAUGAGAUGAAUACAGCUGCGCUUCUCCGACUCCUGGUG
Long non-coding RNA from Trichechus manatus latirostris (Florida manatee), 235 nucleotides. RefSeq lists it as uncharacterized. NCBI's taxonomy places the organism in Eukaryota, Metazoa, Chordata, Mammalia, Sirenia, Trichechidae. The record is from RefSeq and is a predicted model, not a curated record. The transcript is spliced from 3 exons.